CCAUAUAAGAUUAAACCGUGACCAAAUUUACACAACCAUUAGCAUUAUAAUUAAGCUGUUAUAUCAAAAGCAUAUAAACUAAGCUUAACCAAAAGAAAUAAGCCAUUUUUACAUGGCUUAUAUUUACAUAUCCCAAAUCAAACGUUAUAACUAGACUAUACAUGCCAUAAGUUCAAAUUCAAAUUUAACAAAAUAUCAAAAAGAGUCGAUAGUGUGAUAAACUUCUCUAACGAUCCUUGAGCUCGUAACCAACUCCCGAAAUCUAUAAAACAAAGAAACGUAAACACACCAAGUAAGCUUUUAUGGCUUAGUAAGUCUUUAAGAAAUUAAAUGAUUUAAUAAUAAUAAUAAUCAAUUUAUUAAUAAUAUAUAAUUUAGCUAAGCACAUUAACCUUACCAAACUUCAACUCAAACUAUUAAAACUCAUAGUUAAAAGAUUCCUUACCCAAACACCACUAGGUCGAAUACUCACCUAGUUAUUUUAGCAUUUUAUUAUUCCAAGUCUAAUCUAAUUAAUCAUAAAAUCCAUACAUACAUUUAAUUGUAUACUUAAGUCCAAGAUUCAUAGUAUAAUGUCUCACAUAUACAUAUAGUCUACAUGGCUGAAUACAUUAAAUCAUGUAUGCACAUAUUUAUAAAACAUCUCAAUGAUAUACCAAUUGUUCAUUGACAACCGAAUAUAUAUAUAUAUAUAUAUAUAUAUAUUUCAUGAUCAAAGUACUUAUUUUGUAAUAGAUAUCGAAUCACAUACGUACUCACAGGUUAAUUCAUACCUGGCCUUCUGGCUCAUUUUACAUAUUCGAUAUCACAUCGGCAUAAAGCCUUCUAGGCAUAAAGCCUUCUAGGCAUAAAGCCUGUAAUAAUGCACUGGCAUAAAACUUGCUAGGCUCAAACCUGAUAAAAACUCAUCGGCACAAGGCCUGCUAGGCACAAAGCCCGAUAAUCACUGAUACAUAGUUUAUUCUAUCACAUAUUUCAUAUAUCGAAGUUCAUAAUUUUUCCAUGAUAUUCAUAUUUAUUUUUUUUUAUAUAUGUCAAAACACAAUUUAAAACAUUAGCUAAAACAUAGUUAUCAAAUCAUUUCAUAUUCAGUAAUAGCUCAAAUAUUUUCAUAUAUUUCAUUUAAGCACAUAUACUUCUCAUUUAAUUAAUUUAAGUACAUCUAUUAACUUAUAGACUUACUUCGGCGAUGUAAAACGGAACGGAACGACUAGUCAACGACUUUAGUUUUUCCCCGAUUCAAAUCCGAAUUUCUCUUUUCUUGAUCUAAACAUAUUCAAAUUAAACUCAUUCAAACAUAUUUUCACUCAAUUUAGUCCAAAAACACAUAAAUGGGCAAAUUACCAUUUUACCCCUAACAUUUACACUUUUCACAAUUUAGUCCAAAUUACACAAAACACAAAACAUUCAAAUUUUGACUAGACUAUGCUUAGGUCGAAUCUUUAUUAUACUCAUAAAAGUCCAUGCAUUUCAUUUAUUUUGCAUUUUAGUCCUCCAAAAUUUUAUUUUCACAAUUUAACCCUAAUUACUCAAAUUCAUCAAAAAUCCCAAGAUAAAACAUGUUAAUCUUUCACCUAUUUUUCAUUAUUCAUCAUCAUACAUCACAAAACACAAAUAUUAAUCGAUGGCAUAACUCAAAAUAUUCAUUAAAAUAAAAAAUUUAAGCAUGGGUCGGAUAGUGUUCAAAGCAACGAUCUCAAAAACGUAGACAUUAUCAAAAACCGAACAAAAACUAACCUUGAUUCAAGCUCCAACAAUGGCCGAAUGUUUUAAGCUUUCAAACCCUCUUUUUCU
RNAcentral lists this long non-coding RNA (1794 nucleotides) under Gossypium raimondii (Peruvian cotton). RNAcentral describes it as "long non-coding RNA (GRAI_LNC005156)". Lineage: Eukaryota; Viridiplantae; Streptophyta; Magnoliopsida; Malvales; Malvaceae. The record is from RNAcentral.